AAGUCUGAGAGGGAGUACCUGGAUGUGCACAUGAAAAACAUGCGCAGGAAGGGCAUGAGUACACCACGGUACUCAUGAACCAUCGAGUCUUUGAACGCAAGUUGCGCCCGAAGCCAUUAGGCCGAGGGCACGUCUGCCUGGGCGUCA
This 147-nucleotide ribosomal RNA is filed under the name Nicotiana attenuata. RNAcentral describes it as "rRNA 5_8S_rRNA". It matches the Rfam family "5.8S ribosomal RNA". From Rfam's summary of the family: 5.8S ribosomal RNA (5.8S rRNA) is a component of the large subunit of the eukaryotic ribosome. It is transcribed by RNA polymerase I as part of the 45S precursor that also contains 18S and 28S rRNA. Lineage: Eukaryota; Viridiplantae; Streptophyta; Magnoliopsida; Solanales; Solanaceae. The record is from Rfam by way of RNAcentral.